Brachypodium distachyon (stiff brome) is the source of this 120-nucleotide non-coding RNA. The record is from Rfam. NCBI's taxonomy places the organism in Eukaryota, Viridiplantae, Streptophyta, Magnoliopsida, Poales, Poaceae.
AGCUGCGUGGUGAGCACAGAGCGAACUAUUCUUUCGCCUUUUACUAAAGAAUACCGUGUGCACGCCAUACUAAGCAGCAUACGCUGAUUUUUGGAGGGCGCUUUCUUUUUUUGAGAAGGC